UUGCUUUUACAGCCAAUAUACUAAACUUUACAGAGAAAUUUGGCAUGACUCCUACAUAUAGAUGACACACAGAUUUGUGAAGCAUUUUAUAUGUUU
RNAcentral lists this small nuclear RNA (96 nucleotides) under Myotis davidii. Lineage: Eukaryota; Metazoa; Chordata; Mammalia; Chiroptera; Vespertilionidae. The record is from RNAcentral.